AGGCUCGCCCAAGCAGCACGUACACUAAAACUGCAAUGCUACAGAGAUCAGCAUGGCUCUUGCACAAGGAUGGCACACGAAUUCGUGAAGCACUCCGUGUCUUU
Small nuclear RNA from Phyllostomus hastatus (greater spear-nosed bat), 104 nucleotides. The record is from RefSeq and is a predicted model, not a curated record. Lineage: Eukaryota; Metazoa; Chordata; Mammalia; Chiroptera; Phyllostomidae.